Molecule: long non-coding RNA, 1612 nt
Filed under: Triticum aestivum (bread wheat)
Lineage: Eukaryota; Viridiplantae; Streptophyta; Magnoliopsida; Poales; Poaceae
Description: long non-coding RNA (TAES_LNC024840)
Source: RNAcentral
UCUGAUGAACACAUGUUCUUUCGCAGGUGACUAACAGUUGGCACCUCUGUCUUUACAUUACAUCAGGCCAGCACUACAAAGCCCAUGUAUGCCUCUGCCUGCCUGCUCAAUGGACGAUCCGAUCACAAAAAAGUGGAUAAAAAUACUCAUCAGUUUGUCAAAAUACAUGUUUGUUAUCUUAGGAAUGAGUAUAGCUAUCACCAGAGUACAAGCAAAUAUUUCAAUUUUUCCAUGAAGCAAACUUAUGUUAUGAUUAUCACAUUUUGAUCUUGGAGUAAUGAUUGACGAAACUAGAUGGUUACUGCAGUCUGCACCAGUCCAGUAUUUCUAAUUACAAGUUUGAGCUCCAUAGGGAUAAUCUGAUUAGUGUAUCACAAGCUUGCUGUUUCUAAUUGUGCAAAUUCUGUAGUUAUUUUAGUGUUUUGCAGAAUGCAUAGAUUUUCCAUAACAGAAAGAAGUGGAUGUAUAAUCUGAUUUUGCUUUUGGUGCCAGUUGGCUUUGGAAAUCCCAGUUUCUCCAGUAUUGUAACUCUCUGUCAAAUUGUCAAAUUAAACUGAUCUUUCUAUUUGGACAACUUGUAAUUUGUAAUAUUAUGAUUUUCCUUUUCAGAAACCAAUUCAACUAGACCGGGACUAUGUUUAUUAGUCCUCCAGUGUUUGUUGGAAUGAGAUGACCCAUGGUAUGCCAGCUAACAAGCAACUGAAGCAAGAAGAUUUUUGUAAUUUCUUGGAAAGAAUGAGCCCCUGAACCCAGGAUGGCGAAGGAUCCAAUAUGUCAGGACCAAUGAGGGAAUUGCAGAGCUUCAUAUUCAGUUUAUUUUAGGUGCUUGCCUACUUCAAGUGUCUAGAUUACAGGAAACAUGUUUCUUCAAGUGUCUACUUCAAGUAAGUUUCUUAUAGAAGUAGUCAGUUUGAUUCCUUCAAAAUAGUUGUUGCCUGAUAAUUUGUGUAUGACUAAAUAGCAGUACCUCAAAUUUUGCUUCAGCUUCUUAAAACAGAGUAAUUCUGUAAAUCCUAACAGAACUCUAUCAAUCUGAACCAAUUUCUUGUAAAUCUACAAUAGCCUCAUCUGAUCGAAUCAUUGGUUUCAGAUCAAUACAUCCUUGUGCAUUCCCAUAUGAUCAAUAAAAUUCAGUUUGAUUGUGUCAAAAACUUGCUGCUUGACAAUCUGUAUGACUAGAUAGCAAUACCUUAAAAUUGCUUUUGGUUUUAAACUGAACUGAACUCGGUUGGGGCUGAACUGAACUCAGUUUGGUUCUACUAUAGGGUUGUAUUCAUCAUUCUAUAAAAACUGAACUGAACUGAACGUUCGGUGGGCAAAAUAAUUUGAUGGACUGUAGUUUCUUUGAAUUUUUCUUGUUAACUCUAAACUGGACUCAACUCGGUUUGAUUUUGUAAAAAAGAUUGUGACAGACUUAUAUAUAUGCAGCAGUCUUUCGCCAACACUCAAAUUAGAUGGGCAUGAUAUUUAAAAGAAAUCGACAGACUGUAGUUUAUGAGAAUUUGGCAAGAAACUCGGAACUGAUGGACUUGACUUGUGAAAAAAUGUAAUCAAUGGACGACUACAGUUUAUAUCAAACACAGUAUCGAUGGACUUUCGCAAUGCAGGCUUG